Molecule: ribosomal RNA, 281 nt
Filed under: uncultured soil bacterium
Lineage: Bacteria
Description: partial 16S ribosomal RNA
Rfam family: Bacterial small subunit ribosomal RNA
Source: RNAcentral
AGAUUGAACGCUGGCGGCAUGCCUUACACAUGCAAGUCGAACGGCAGCACGGGAGCAAUCCUGGUGGCGAGUGGCGAACGGGUGAGUAAUACAUCGGAACGUGCCCAAUCGUGGGGGAUAACGCAGCGAAAGCUGUGCUAAUACCGCAUACGAUCUACGGAUGAAAGCAGGGGACCGCAAGGCCUUGCGCGAGUGGAGCGGCCGAUGGCAGAUUAGGUAGUUGGUGAGGUAAAGGCUCACCAAGCCUUCGAUCUGUAGCUGGUCUGAGAGGACGACAGCCA